CUACGGGGCGCUGCAGUGAGGAAUAUUGCACAAUGGGGGAAACCCUGAUGCAGCAACGCCGCGUGGAGGAUGACGCAUUUCGGUGUGUAAACUCCUUUUAUCAGAGAAGAAAAUGACGGUAUCUGAUGAAUAAGCUCCGGCUAACUCCGUGCCAGUAGCCGCGGUAAUACGGAGGGAGCAAGCGUUAUUCGGAAUCACUGGGCGUAAAGGACGCGUAGGCGGGUUUUUAAGUCAGGUGUGAAAUCCUAUGGCUCAACCAUAGAACUGCACUUGAAACUGGGGACCUAGAGUAUGGAAGGGGCAGGUGGAAUUAGUGGUGUAGGGGUAAAAUCCGUAGAUAUCACUAGGAAUACCGAAAGCGAAGGCGACCUGCUGGGACAUUACUGACGCUGAGGCGUGAAAGCGUGGGGAGCAAACAGGAUUAGAUACCCGCGUAGUC
This 439-nucleotide ribosomal RNA is filed under the name uncultured bacterium. RNAcentral describes it as "partial 16S ribosomal RNA". It matches the Rfam family "Bacterial small subunit ribosomal RNA", at positions 339 to 795 of the family's 1533-position model. The record is from RNAcentral.